CGCUGUUAUACACGUGUUUUGGUAUUGAUUAUGAUUCGCUAAAUAUUACUCAAUAAGAAACUACUUGAAUGAGUAGAUUUGGUGUUCCCCCAGUCCCUAUAUUUACAUUUAUAGUGCUGAUUUAUGAUAUUAAUUUUUUUGUUUUUUGUUUUUUAACUAGAUUGUAGUUGAUCAAACAGAACCCGGCAACAAUUUCGAGAUAUUUUUCUUAAGCUAUGGUUCUCGGGCUGAGGUCAAAGCACAGAAAAAGUGCUUCUGUUAAAGUUGAGUACAUAGUGAACUUACAGGAGAUUAGGCCUUGGCCUCCAACAGAAUCACUGAGUUCCGUUCAAACCGUGUUGCUCCAAUGGGAAAAUGGUAAUAAAAAUUCAGGAUCCUUUAUUUCUGUUGCUGGGAAUACCAGUAUAUCGUUCAACGAGUCUUUCAUACUGACCUUUACUCUGCGCCAAGAUAAAAAGGCCCGUGAUAAGUUUCUUAAGAAUUGCUUAGAGUUCAGCUUGUUUGAGCCUCGAAAGGACAAGGGAAGUAAAGGGCAAUUAUUGGGGACAGCUUUAUUAAAUCUUGCUGAUUAUGGAGUACUUGAAGAAAUCAUAAGUAUUAGCAUUCCUUUAAACUUCAAGAAGAGUUAUAAGAAUUCAGUGCAACCAGCUUUGUUCGUAANUCAUGUAGCU
This 671-nucleotide long non-coding RNA is filed under the name Olea europaea subsp. europaea. The record is from RNAcentral. Lineage: Eukaryota; Viridiplantae; Streptophyta; Magnoliopsida; Lamiales; Oleaceae.